UUCCGUCCGUAUUUCUGCACCUUUUCUGGGAGCUUACAGAUACGAACAAAAUGUUGUACCACCGGAAAUAGUGAGGGCAGUGCUGAGCAGUAUAGCCAAAGGUUUAUGACAGAUAGCAACAAAACACAACAAAGAAGAGUACUUUGAAAAGUGGCGGGACAUUUUAAGAAAACAUUGUGCGAGUUGUUUGGAAACCAUUAAAGAAUAAAUUAUGUUACCUUGCCCGGGCAACAGGACAGACAAGCACAAUAAACAUCUGAGUAAGGAAAUGGACUUCAGCUGGACGGCUGCGAAGGAGAAGAGGAGGCACUCGCGAGACAGAUUGCCCCAACCACUGAGGAAUCUUUCAUAAAGUGCAACCUGGAACUGAGUCACAAUACAGAUGUUUGCUGUCAAAACUCUCACAUCGACUCCUGAGGGAUGACAGAAUCUGUGUACAAACAGACCCAAGCGCUGUGGAUAAAGGUAGUGAUGGCGAGAUGAAGCUUCUUGAAGCAUUGAGGCUUUCCAUCCAACUGGUUCACUCAUGGGCCGAAGCUUCAUGGUGCUCCAUUUGCUCUACUGCGCCAUCAAGUGGACAAUAAAUUUAAAAUAAGCGCAGUGAUU
Molecule: long non-coding RNA, 606 nt
Organism: Notolabrus celidotus (New Zealand spotty)
Lineage: Eukaryota; Metazoa; Chordata; Actinopteri; Labriformes; Labridae
Exons: 4
Source: RefSeq, a predicted model, not a curated record